GACGAACGCUGGCGGCGUGCUUAACACAUGCAAGUCGAGCGGGAAACUUCGGUUUCCAGCGGCGGACGGGUGAGUAACACGUGGGCAACCUGCCUCACAAUGAGGGAUAGCCUUCCGAAAGGAAGAUUAAUACCUCAUAACACAAGAGAAACACAUGUUUCUCUUGCCAAAGAAUUUCGUUGUGAGAUGGGCCCGCGGCGCAUUAGCUUGUUGGUGAGGUAAAGGCUCACCAAGGCUGCGAUGCGUAGCCGACCUGAGAGGGUGAUCGGCCACAUUGGAACUGAGACACGGUCCAGACUCCUAAGGGAGGCAGCAGUGGGGAAUAUUGCACAAUGGAGUAAUCUCGUAUGCAGCAACGCCGCGUGAGGGAUGAAGGUCUUGGAAUUGUAAAGCUCUGUCUGCUGGGACGAUAAUUACGGUACCAGAGGAGGAAGCCACGGCUAACUACGUGCCAGCCGCCGCCGUAA
RNAcentral lists this ribosomal RNA (467 nucleotides) under uncultured bacterium. Its description in RNAcentral is "partial 16S ribosomal RNA". It matches the Rfam family "Bacterial small subunit ribosomal RNA", at positions 28 to 523 of the family's 1533-position model. The record is from RNAcentral.